UCUCAACAUGGGAACCCAUUUUGGGGCAGGU
RNAcentral lists this non-coding RNA (31 nucleotides) under Mus musculus (house mouse). The record is from RNAcentral. Lineage: Eukaryota; Metazoa; Chordata; Mammalia; Rodentia; Muridae.